AAUAAAGAUUUAUUAAAUAACUUUGUGUUUUCUACCUUCUUAUCUUUCCACCUACAACAAUGACAUGCCAUCACACACCGGCAUAUAUACAACAGUGAUGGUCAAAGUUUUUGUUUUGUUUAGUAGAUUCUAAUUUAAUGUUUACAAUUUUCAAAUGUUAAAAAUAAAUUACAAGGGUAUUUUACUAACUAUAGUCAAACAAUAUAUAAGUUAGUUGUUUUUUUUAUUUUCUCAUUCAUUCUUCUCAAAAGUUCUUACAAUACUUAUUAUACUAUAUUAUAUGCAAAAAAUCAC
Cinara cedri is the source of this 294-nucleotide non-coding RNA. The record is from the annotation of a GenBank genome assembly. NCBI's taxonomy places the organism in Eukaryota, Metazoa, Arthropoda, Insecta, Hemiptera, Aphididae.